This 460-nucleotide ribosomal RNA is filed under the name uncultured bacterium. RNAcentral describes it as "partial 16S ribosomal RNA". It matches the Rfam family "Bacterial small subunit ribosomal RNA", at positions 338 to 795 of the family's 1533-position model. The record is from RNAcentral.
CCUACGGGUGACAGCAGUGAGGAAUAUUGGUCAAUGGGCGCGAGCCUGAACCAUCCAAGUAGCGUGAAGGAUGAAUGCCCUACGGGUUGUAAACUUCUUUUAUAAAGGCAUAAAGUCAGGCACGUGUGCCUUUUUGUAUUUACUUUAUGAAUAAGGAUCGGCUAACUCCGUGCCAGCAGCCGCGGUAAUACGGAGGAUCCGAGCGUUAUCCGGAUUUAUUGGGUUUAAAGGGAGCGUAGAUGGGUGGUUAAGUCAGUUGUGAAAGUUUGCGGCUCAACCGUAAAAUUGCAAUUGAGACUGGCAGCCUUGAGUACAGUUGAGGUAGGCGGAAUUCGUGGUGUAGCGGGGAAAGGCUUAGAUAUCACGAAGAAAUCCGAUUGCGAAGGCAGCCUACUAAACUGCCACUGACAUUGAUGCUCGAAAGUGUGGGUAUCAAACAGGAUUAGAUACCCGUGUAGUC